CCUAACACAUGCAAGUCGAGCGCAGGAAGCAAGCUGAUCCCCUUCGGGGGUGACGCUUGUGGAAUGAGCGGCGGACGGGUGAGUAACACGUGGGCAACCUGCCUGUAAGACUGGGAUAACCCCGGGAAACCGGGGCUAAUACCGGAUAAUACUUUCUUUUGCAUAAAGGAAAGUUGAAAGGCGGCUUCGGCUGUCACUUACAGAUGGGCCCGCGGCGCAUUAGCUAGUUGGUGAGGUAACGGCUCACCAAGGCGACGAUGCGUAGCCGACCUGAGAGGGUGAUCGGCCACACUGGGACUGAGACACGGCCCAGACUCCUACGGGAG
RNAcentral lists this ribosomal RNA (326 nucleotides) under uncultured bacterium. RNAcentral's name for it is "bacterial SSU rRNA". It matches the Rfam family "Bacterial small subunit ribosomal RNA", at positions 47 to 347 of the family's 1533-position model. The record is from RNAcentral.